UACGAAGUGGGCUAGCGUUGCUCGGAAUCACUGGGCGUAAAGCGCACGUAGGCGGACUCUUAAGUCGGUGGUGAAAUCCUGGAGCUCAACUCCAGAACUGCCUUCGAUACUGAGAGUCUCGAGUCCGGGAGAGGUGAGUGGAACUGCGAGUGUAGAGGUGAAAUUCGUAGAUAUUCGCAAGAACACCAGUGGCGAAGGCGGCUCACUGGCCCGGUACUGACGCUGAGGUGCGAAAGCGUGGGGAGCAAACAGG
Molecule: ribosomal RNA, 253 nt
Filed under: uncultured bacterium
Lineage: Bacteria
Description: partial 16S ribosomal RNA
Rfam family: Bacterial small subunit ribosomal RNA
Source: RNAcentral